AGAGUUUGAUCAUGGCUCAGAUUGAACGCUGGCGGCAUGCCUUACACAUGCAAGUCGAACGGCAGCAUGAUCUAGCUUGCUAGAUUGAUGGCGAGUGGCGAACGGGUGAGUAAUACAUCGGAACGUGCCCUGUAGUGGGGGAUAACUAGUCGAAAGAUUAGCUAAUACCGCAUACGACCUGAGGGUGAAAGUGGGGGACCGCAAGGCCUCAUGCUAUAGGAGCGGCCGAUGUCUGAUUAGCUAGUUGGUGAGGUAAAGGCUCACCAAGGCGACGAUCAGUAGCUGGUCUGAGAGGACGAUCAGCCACACUGGGACUGAGACACGGCCCAGACUCCUACGGGAGGCAGCAGUGGGGAAUUUUGGACAAUGGGGGCAACCCUGAUCCAGCAAUGCCGCGUGUGUGAAGAAGGCCUUCGGGUUGUAAAGCACUUUUGUCCGGAAAGAAAUCGCACUUACUAAUAUUAGGUGUGGAUGACGGUACCGGAAGAAUAAGGACCGGCUAACCACGUGCCAGCAGCCGCGGUAAUACGUAGGGUCCAAGCGUUAAUCGGAAUUACUGGGCGUAAAGCGUGCGCAGGCGGUUGUGCAAGACCGAUGUGAAAUCCCCGGGCUUAACCUGGGAAUUGCAUUGGUGACUGCACGGCUAGAGUGUGUCAGAGGGGGGUAGAAUUCCACGUGUAGCAGUGAAAUGCGUAGAGAUGUGGAGGAAUACCGAUGGCGAAGGCAGCCCCCUGGGAUAACACUGACGCUCAUGCACGAAAGCGUGGGGAGCAAGCAGGAUUAGAUACCCUGGUAGUCCACGCCCUAAACGAUGUCAACUAGUUGUUGGGGAUUCAUUUCCUUAGUAACGUAGCUAACGCGUGAAGUUGACCGCCUGGGGAGUACGGUCGCAAGAUUAAAACUCAAAGGAAUUGACGGGGACCCGCACAAGCGGUGGAUGAUGUGGAUUAAUUCGAUGCAACGCGAAAAACCUUACCUACCCUUGACAUGCCACUAACGAAGCAGAGAUGCAUUAGGUGCUCGAAAGAGAAAGUGGACACAGGUGCUGCAUGGCUGUCGUCAGCUCGUGUCGUGAGAUGUUGGGUUAAGUCCCGCAACGAGCGCAACCCUUGUCUCUAGUUGCUACGAAAGGGCACUCUAGAGAGACUGCCGGUGACAAACCGGAGGAAGGUGGGGAUGACGUCAAGUCCUCAUGGCCCUUAUGGGUAGGGCUUCACACGUCAUACAAUGGUGCAUACAGAGGGUUGCCAAGCCGCGAGGUGGAGCUAAUCCCAGAAAAUGCAUCGUAGUCCGGAUCGUAGUCUGCAACUCGACUACGUGAAGCUGGAAUCGCUAGUAAUCGCGGAUCAGCAUGCCGCGGUGAAUACGUUCCCGGGUCUUGUAGA
Molecule: ribosomal RNA, 1385 nt
Filed under: uncultured bacterium
Lineage: Bacteria
Description: bacterial SSU rRNA
Rfam family: Bacterial small subunit ribosomal RNA
Source: RNAcentral